AUGAGCGUAAUCGUAACCAAGUCUAGGCCGUUGCUGGUCCGCCCGUCGACGGAGCAGUCGACGCCGACGACGCCCGACCACAUCAAAGUCUCCUCCUUCGACAAGGCUCUCGCCUUCUCCGCGUUCUCGUCGUUCCACGUCUUCGACGGCGCCAUCCACGAGCCCGCCGAGACCAUAAAGAGGGCGCUGUCUCGAGCUCUGGACCACUUCCGGCUCAUCGCCGGCCGCGUCGUCGUGGGAGACAACGGCAGCGAGCUCUACAUCGCAUGCACCGGCGAGGGCGUGGAGUUCGUGGCCGCGACGGCCAGCCGCGCCUUAGAGGACGUCAAGGUCUUCGACCCGCCGUUCGCGGGGCUGCUUAAAGACCUCGCCGUCGACUACCCGGAGGCCAGGUGCCGCGUGACCGACCCCUUGCUGCUCAUGCAGGUGACCGAGUUCUCCUGCGGCGCGUUCGUCCUCGGUGUCACGUGGAACCACGUCGUCGCCGACGGCACGGGGAUCGCGCUGCUCCUGCGGGCAGUGGGCGAGCUCGCGCGCGGGCUGGCUCGGCCGUCCGUCUCCCCGGUCACCUGCGCCGACCAGUUCAUGCCGGACUUCCCGCCGUUGGCCGCCUCUAUAGUGAAGGCCAUGCUUGGCCAGCUGGAGCCCCAGGAUUACCCCUACCUCGACAUCACCGUGCCGAUGAGCACCAUCGGCCGCAUCAAAGCGAAAAUCGGCGACGAGCUAGGCGCGCCGUGCACCGUAUUUGAGGCGGCCACGGCUGUCCUGUGGCAGUGUCGCUCCCGCGCCAUCAUGCCCGACGGCGACCCGGACAGCGCGGCGCCUCUCGUCUUCGCGGCGAACGCGCGCAGGCACGUCGGCGCCGGGGACGGCUACUACAGCAACUGCGUCACGACGCACGUAGUCGCCCCGCCACCGACGAUCCGUGAGGCGGCACAAGGGGACAUGAAAGACCUCGUUAAGCUGAUCAGGAGCGGCAAGGAUCAGGUACCUGGCACCUUGGCCGGAGAAGAAGUAGAAGGCGUGCCAGGCAUGGAGACGCUGUUCGGGUACAAUGCGCUGUUCGUGACGAGCUGGCGGAACCUGGGCUUCGAGGCGACGGACUUUGGCGGCGGGACGCCGGCGAGGGUGAUGGGCCACGUGGGGCCGCGGUCGGUGCCGGCCUGUGUGGCGUGCCUGCCGUGCAGGGACAAGGACGGGGCAAACAUGCUGUCGCGCUUCGUCAAGGAGGAGCACCGCGGCGCCUUCCUUACCGAGCUGGCCAAGUUCACCUGA
RNAcentral lists this ribosomal RNA (1275 nucleotides) under Triticum aestivum (bread wheat). RNAcentral describes it as "partial small subunit ribosomal RNA". The record is from RNAcentral. Lineage: Eukaryota; Viridiplantae; Streptophyta; Magnoliopsida; Poales; Poaceae.